Bos taurus (domestic cattle) is the source of this 446-nucleotide long non-coding RNA. NCBI's taxonomy places the organism in Eukaryota, Metazoa, Chordata, Mammalia, Artiodactyla, Bovidae. The record is from Ensembl.
CUUUUGCACAGUCUACUUAAAAGGAGGAGACACCCAGACAUAAGCAGCCUGUUUGAAGGGCCGAGAAGACCUAUGGUAGAAUAACUUUCUCUCCCAGGAUGGAUUUUCCACAUGUUAUCCACGUGUAUCCAGGUCUCUGGAGUGGAAUAAUCACAGCCUUUGCUUGAAGAAUUCCCUGCCUGUCAGACCCCGAAGGCUCAAGUCUGUGGACAGAAGAUGUGUGAAUACUGAGCUAAAACAGAGUAUAGGCAAGAGUUUUGUCUGUUCACCACUGGGAUUUAAGAACUUAAAGGCCAAGAACUGGCCUCAAAAGCAAAGGAGUGGUGAUCAUUUUGUAAUGUAUAAAAAUAUCGAAUCACUAUGUUUUGCACCUGUAAAAAAAGAAAAAAGACGAGGCGAAGUCAAUAUAUGCUUUAAAAAUAUAUAUAAAAUACACAGAUAUACAC